UGCUUCUUGAAAUCAAUAUAAGAAGUAAUUCCUGCCCAGUGAUAUUAUUCAACGGCCGCGGUAUCCUAACCGUGCAAAGGUAGCAUAAUCACUUGCCCAUUAAUUGUGGGCUAGAAUGAACGGACCAACGAAAUAAAAACUGUCUCUAUGAGUCCCAUAAAAAUUAAUCUCUAACUGAAGAGUGUUAGAUGAGAUCGAAGGACAAGAAGACCCUAUAGAGCUUCAUUUUAAUAAAGAUAUAGACUUUACUAAAAUUCGGUUGGGGCGACCAGGGAAACCCAAUCAUCCCUAACUAAAAGAUAAAUAAAUCUCAUUACUGACCCUUAAUUAAGAUCACAAAAACAAGCUACCUUAGGGAUAACAGGCUAAUCCUAUUAAAGAGUCCUUAUCAAUAAUAGGGGUUGGCACCUCGAUGUUGGCUUAGGGAAUCUAUGUGGCGCAAAAGUCACAUAAAGAUGGUUUGUUCAA
This 468-nucleotide ribosomal RNA is filed under the name Allolobophora chlorotica. RNAcentral's name for it is "partial 16S ribosomal RNA". It matches the Rfam family "Bacterial large subunit ribosomal RNA", at positions 1817 to 2584 of the family's 2925-position model. The record is from RNAcentral. Lineage: Eukaryota; Metazoa; Annelida; Clitellata; Crassiclitellata; Lumbricidae.